RNAcentral lists this ribosomal RNA (497 nucleotides) under uncultured bacterium. RNAcentral describes it as "partial 16S ribosomal RNA". It matches the Rfam family "Bacterial small subunit ribosomal RNA", at positions 28 to 507 of the family's 1533-position model. The record is from RNAcentral.
GAUGAACGCUGGCGGCGUGCCUAAUACAUGCAAGUCGAGCGAACAGACGAGGAGCUUGCUCCUCUGACGUUAGCGGCGGACGGGUGAGUAACACGUGGAUAACCUACCUAUAAGACUGGGAUAACUUCGGGAAACCGGAGCUAAUACCGGAUAAUAUAUUGAACCGCAUGGUUCCAUAGUUAAAUACGGUUUUGCUGUCACUUAUAGAUGGAUCCGCGCCGCAUUAGCUAGUUGGUAAGGUAACGGCUUACCAAGGCAACGAUGCGUAGCCGACCUGAGAGGGUGAUCGGCCACACUGGAACUGAGACACGGUCCAGACUCCUACGGGAGGCAGCAGUAGGGAAUCUUCCGCAAUGGGCGAAAGCCUGACGGAGCAACGCCGCGUGAGUGAUGAAGGUCUUCGGAUCGUAAAACUCUGUUAUUAGGGAAGAACAAAUGUGUAAGUAACUAUGCACGUCUUGACGGUACCUAAUCAGAAAGCCACGGCUAACUACGUG